RNAcentral lists this long non-coding RNA (653 nucleotides) under Salvator merianae (Argentine black and white tegu). Its description in RNAcentral is "lncRNA (ENSSMRG00000002670.1)". Lineage: Eukaryota; Metazoa; Chordata; Lepidosauria; Squamata; Teiidae. The record is from RNAcentral.
UACUUUUUUAGCAUCUAGAACAAAUUCCCUUCAUGUCCAUCCAGCUCUGAGUCAACUCAUGUAUCCAUGGAUACUGUGGUUUUUUUUUUUUUUUAAAUCAUAGCAAAAGGCAUGAGAAGCUGGUAGCUCUUUACCAAACAGGAACGGAAAGAACAUCAUAUCAAAACCAAGGGACUAUUUAAAAUCUAAUGCGAAAGCCCAGAUUCUACAUUGCUGGCAGAAGCUAAAUGCAUCAUGAUGAGGGUGUCAAAAAUAAUUCUACUCUUAGGUGUAAAGAGGUGCCAAAGAUGCUUAUUCUAACCACUGUGAGUCACAGAGAAAGCCACAUAGGAAACCCUGAAGAGGAUGGCCAGCCAGCCACAAAAAGGAAGGCAUGAAUACACUACUGAUCUCAUGUGCAAUGAGUCAAAAAGUCAUAGAUCUCAUGGUCACAGAAGAGGACGUAGAAGAAGACAUCACUGAACAUUUCCAUCUUGAUGGUGUUCUGUGCCCUUGAUUUCAAAAGUCACCAGACUCAUAGAAGCUUUUGUCCAACAAAAAAUUGAAACAGAACAACCAUCCAUGAUAACACCCAGGAUAAUUUCCUGAGAUUAAAGGAGCCUGCAACAGUUUGAUGAUUGCCACCUGUCAAUAAAAUGCUGAAAUUUCAUUCA